Long non-coding RNA from Juglans microcarpa x Juglans regia, 467 nucleotides. RefSeq lists it as uncharacterized. The record is from RefSeq and is a predicted model, not a curated record. The transcript has 3 exons. NCBI's taxonomy places the organism in Eukaryota, Viridiplantae, Streptophyta, Magnoliopsida, Fagales, Juglandaceae.
UUGACAGUUUUAUAGAGAUUUUUUUUAGUCUGGCCUGCAUACUUGUUGAUGGGUAACUCUUAUCUUGAGUCCAAGUUUCACUAAAUUCGGGAUAAAGAAUUCCCAAAAACUGGAUGAAUAGGUAUUUAUAUGUUUGUUCCAUAAAGUUAUAAUUUAGCUUAUAUGGCUUGCUAUGGAUACCUAGAACAAAUAGAUGAUAGAACUUAUAUAUAGAUGAUCUAUAUAUGUAUAACUGCAUAAGUCCUACUAGCUGCAAUAGGAAGACGCUAGGAUUAAGUUACUACUGCAUGUACUUUUACUUUUGAUUGUUGGACUUUACUGAAAGCACUGCAAUAGGAAGAUGCUAGGAUUAAGUUUUUGAGACUCCUUUCUGAAAGCACUGCACUGGAAGCCUGAAUUUUUGGCUUAUAAAAACAGGGGCUGCUUUAGGUGCUGGUUUUGCUUCUCUAUUUUUGAAAGAAAUCAGA